AAGUCGUAACAAGGUUUCCGUAGGUGAACCUGCGGAAGGAUCAUUAACACGGUUAGAUUUUCCAUUUGGAUUGUCAGUCUAUUUUUUCUUUAAUCGCCGCGCACCUUGUUAAAAAACGGACUUUGUUCGAACCAGGAAAUUGAGAGCAAGCUGCUUGAUUGAUGGGUGGCCUCUCGGUUGACAAACGACUUGGUUUUUGAAUCUCACGGUCCGUCAUCAAUCACUUUGGAGCUUUCUUUUUGAUAAACACCUUUUCGUACUACUACCAGUCUGAAUCGUUUGAUCUCUCUGCCUCUUUUUCUUUUUUCUUUCUGAGAAGAGAGAGAGAGAGAGCGUUGGGAAAGAACAAAAAACAAAACUUUGAACAACUCUUAGCAACGGAUAUCUCGGUUCUC
This 395-nucleotide unclassified non-coding RNA is filed under the name fungal sp. RNAcentral's name for it is "partial internal transcribed spacer region". The stretch from base 1 to 46 matches the Rfam family "Eukaryotic small subunit ribosomal RNA", at positions 1786 to 1831 of the family's 1831-position model. Lineage: Eukaryota; Fungi. The record is from RNAcentral.